RNAcentral lists this ribosomal RNA (419 nucleotides) under uncultured Bacillus sp. RNAcentral's name for it is "bacterial SSU rRNA". It matches the Rfam family "Bacterial small subunit ribosomal RNA", at positions 9 to 418 of the family's 1533-position model. The record is from RNAcentral. Lineage: Bacteria; Bacillati; Bacillota; Bacilli; Caryophanales; Bacillaceae.
GAGUUUGAUCGUGGCUCAGGACGAACGCUGGCGGCGUGCCUAAUACAUGCAAGUCGAGCGAAUCAUGAGGUGCUUGCACCUCUUGGUUAGCGGCGGACGGGUGAGUAACACGUGGGCAACCUGCCUGUAAGACUGGGAUAACUUCGGGAAACCGGAGCUAAUACCGGAUAAUCCUUUUCCUCUCAUGAGGAAAAGCUGAAAGUCGGUUUACGCUGACACUUACAGAUGGGCCCGCGGCGCAUUAGCUAGUUGGUGAGGUAACGGCUCACCAAGGCGACGAUGCGUAGCCGACCUGAGAGGGUGAUCGGCCACACUGGGACUGAGACACGGCCCAGACUCCUACGGGAGGCAGCAGUAGGGAAUCUUCCGCAAUGGACGAAAGUCUGACGGAGCAACGCCGCGUGAGCGAUGAAGGCCUU